Molecule: ribosomal RNA, 366 nt
Filed under: uncultured bacterium
Lineage: Bacteria
Description: partial 16S ribosomal RNA
Rfam family: Bacterial small subunit ribosomal RNA
Source: RNAcentral
CCUACGGGAGGCAGCAGUGAGGAAUAUUGGUCAAUGGCCGAGAGGCUGAACCAGCCAAGUCGCGUGAGGGAAGACGGCCCUACGGGUUGUAAACCUCUUUUGUCGGGGAGCAAAGCGAACCACGUGUGGGUCAUUGAGAGUACCCGAAGAAAAAGCAUCGGCUAACGCCGUGCCAGCAGCCGCGGUAAUACGGAGGAUGCGAGCGUUAUCCGGAUUUAUUGGGUUUAAAGGGGGCGCAGGCGGAGGUGCAAGUCAGCGGUCAAAUUGCGGGGCUCAACCCCGUACUGCCGUUGAAACUGCAUCCCUUGCGUGCGCGAGAAGUCUGCGGACUGCGUGGUGUAGCGGUGAACUGCAUAGCUAUCACGC